RNAcentral lists this ribosomal RNA (438 nucleotides) under uncultured bacterium. Its description in RNAcentral is "partial 16S ribosomal RNA". It matches the Rfam family "Bacterial small subunit ribosomal RNA", at positions 355 to 785 of the family's 1533-position model. The record is from RNAcentral.
UAGGGAAUCUUCCACAAUGGACGCAAGUCUGAUGGAGCAACGCCGCGUGAGUGAAGAAGGCUUUCGGGUCGUAAAACUCUGUUAUUGAAGAAGAACGUGUGUGACAGUAACUGGUCAUGCAGUGACGGUAUUCAAUCAGAAAGUCACGGCUAACUACGUGCCAGCAGCCGCGGUAAUACGUAGGUGGCAAGCGUUGUCCGGAUUUAUUGGGCGUAAAGCGAGUGCAGGCGGUCUUUUAAGUCUGAUGUGAAAGCCUUCGGCUUAACCGAAGAAGGGCAUCGGAAACUGGGAGACUUGAGUGCAGAAGAGGAGAGUGGAACUCCAUGUGUAGCGGUGAAAUGCGUAGAUAUAUGGAAGAACACCAGUGGCGAAGGCGGCUCUCUGGUCUGUAACUGACGCUGAGGCUCGAAAGCGUGGGUAGCAAACAGGAUUAGAUAC